RNAcentral lists this long non-coding RNA (316 nucleotides) under Brassica napus (rape). RNAcentral's name for it is "long non-coding RNA (BNAP_LNC015555)". Lineage: Eukaryota; Viridiplantae; Streptophyta; Magnoliopsida; Brassicales; Brassicaceae. The record is from RNAcentral.
UAAUUUGUAAAAGCUAGAAUAGGUCCAAAAGUUAAUGACAACCUUUUUAAGUAGAUAAAAAGUAAGACUCUAUUUUAAUAGAUGAUAAGACAUCAUACACUUCCUACAAAGAAUCUAUCCACGCUUCGACGUUGAAAACUGAACUCAUUCAGAACUUUCACAUAUAGGAAUAAUCUUAUAAUGGUUACAACAAGGGGUAUUCAUAAAGGAAAGGAAGUUUUAUCCCGAGAUUCACUCUUCAUUGAUCAAUGAUCAUAAACUAAUAAUAUAUGUACUAUCUUACAAUUUUAAGUUAUUUAGAAAUAGAAAGAUGUUA